CGAACGCUGGCGGCGCGUCUUAAGCAUGCAAGUCGAGCGGUAAGAUUGGUGCUUGCACUAAUCCUAGAGCGGCGGACUGGUGAGUAACGCGUGGGUGACGUACCUCUGUGACGGGGACAGCUCCUAGAAAUAGGAGAUAAUACCGGAUACGCUGCAUGUUGUCAGAGGACAUGCAGGAAAGGAUCUUUUGAUUCGCACAGAGAGCGGCCCGCGUACUAUUAGCUGGUUGGUGGGGUAACGGCCCACCAAGGCGACGAUAGUUACCCGGCCUAAGAGGGUGAUCGGGCACAUUGGACUGAGAUACGGCCCAGACUCCUACGGGAGGCAGCAGCUAAGAAUAUUCCGCAAUGGACGAAAGUCUGACGGAGCGACGCCGCGUGGAUGAUGAAGGCCGGAAGGUUUGUAAAAUCCUUUUAUGACUGAGGAAUAAGUGAAGUGAGAGAAACGCUUCAUGGUGACUGUAGGUCAUGAAUAAGCAACGGCUAAUUACGUGCCAGCAGCUGC
This 504-nucleotide ribosomal RNA is filed under the name uncultured bacterium. RNAcentral's name for it is "bacterial SSU rRNA". It matches the Rfam family "Bacterial small subunit ribosomal RNA", at positions 30 to 518 of the family's 1533-position model. The record is from RNAcentral.